CUCAGGACGAACGCUGGCGGCGUGCUUAACACAUGCAAGUCGAACGAUGAAGCCCUUCGGGGUGGAUUAGUGGCGAACGGGUGAGUAACACGUGGGCAAUCUGCCCUUCACUCUGGGACAAGCCCUGGAAACGGGGUCUAAUACCGGAUAAUACUUUCCUCCUCCUGGAGGAAGGUUGAAAGCUCCGGCGGUGAAGGAUGAGCCCGCGGCCUAUCAGCUAGUUGGUGGGGUAAUGGCCUACCAAGGCGACGACGGGUAGCCGGCCUGAGAGGGCGACCGGCCACACUGGGACUGAGACACGGCCCAGACUCCUACGGGAGGCAGCAGUGGGGAAUAUUGCACAAUGGGCGAAAGCCUGAUGCAGCGACGCCGCGUGAGGGAUGACGGCCUUCGGGUUGUAAACCUCUUUCAGCAGGGAAGAAGCGAAAGUGACGGUACCUGCAGAAGAAGCGCCGGCUAACUACGUGCCAGCAGCCGCGGUAAUACGUAGGGCGCAAGCGUUGUCCGGAAUUAUUGGGCGUAAAGAGCUCGUAGGCGGCUUGUCACGUCGGUUGUGAAAGCCCGGGGCUUAACCCCGGGUCUGCAGUCGAUACGGGCAGGCUAGAGUGUGGUAGGGGAGAUCGGAAUUCCUGGUGUAGCGGUGAAAUGCGCAGAUAUCAGGAGGAACACCGGUGGCGAAGGCGGAUCUCUGGGCCAUUACUGACGCUGAGGAGCGAAAGCGUGGGGAGCGAACAGGAUUAGAUACCCUGGUAGUCCACGCCGUAAACGUUGGGAACUAGGUGUUGGCGACAUUCCACGUCGUCGGUGCCGCAGCUAACGCA
Molecule: ribosomal RNA, 821 nt
Filed under: bacterium
Lineage: Bacteria
Description: bacterial SSU rRNA
Rfam family: Bacterial small subunit ribosomal RNA
Source: RNAcentral